This 265-nucleotide unclassified non-coding RNA is filed under the name Hevea brasiliensis (rubber tree). Lineage: Eukaryota; Viridiplantae; Streptophyta; Magnoliopsida; Malpighiales; Euphorbiaceae. The record is from RNAcentral.
GUUUUGUGUCGAUUCGAUCUUCUUCUGAUCUUCUUUUUUUUUUAAAUUCAGAAAUUUCCCCUUUUCUUUAACUUCAAUCUUGCACCAAAUUCAGAACAACUUUCUGAGUGUAGUAAACCGAAAGCAUCAUAAAUUCCUCCAGAAAUUUCACUCUAAGCAGAGAAUAAAAGUUGCUUCGAAUUUUGUAUCAAGAAACUAAAAAAUGGGGUUCACGCAAUCAAAAUAAAGCAAGAAUUUCAUAUAUUACUUCAAAUCUGUAAUUGAU